GGAAAGAUGCCGGAGCGGUCGAUCGGGACGGUCUCGAAAACCGUUGUACUCUUACGGGUACCCAGGGUUCGAAUCCCUGUCUUUCCGCCA
This 90-nucleotide transfer RNA is filed under the name Muribaculaceae bacterium. RNAcentral describes it as "tRNA-Ser". It matches the Rfam family "tRNA". From Rfam's summary of the family: Transfer RNA (tRNA) molecules are approximately 80 nucleotides in length. Their secondary structure includes four short double-helical elements and three loops (D, anti-codon, and T loops). The record is from RNAcentral. Lineage: Bacteria; Pseudomonadati; Bacteroidota; Bacteroidia; Bacteroidales; Muribaculaceae.